UGAGCCGGCGGAGGUGUUAAUAAACAUUCCUCCCCGCUUUUUUUGUUCCUUUUCCUGAGGAAAGAAAGAGAGACGAAAAGAGAGAAGCCCGCCCGCUUGGGCACGUUGGUUCUGUAUAUACCCUGGGGCACGACACCCCCCAAAAGGUUACUCUAUAAGCGAGAAGAAAAGACUGCAAGGGAGAAAGAGAAGGGUCUGCACACGGCCAGGGGAACCGUCUGAGGUACCCACCAUCAACCACUGGUUCCAUUAGAGCGAGAGGGUCUGGAACAAUGCAAAUCACCAUCCCCAGAAGGCCAUACGCUGUCAGAAGAUCAAGGCAGAUGCAUGGCGGAGGGAGACCCCGCAAUACCAUCCUGGGCAGAAAGUAUGGCUCUCCAGCCCAAUACUCACCACCCUCUGAUUCCUCAACAAAGCCUGGUCAGUCGGAAGAACCCCCUCAUCCUCUGGAUAUGGAAGGUCGUAG
Triplophysa dalaica is the source of this 466-nucleotide long non-coding RNA. RefSeq lists it as uncharacterized. The transcript has 3 exons. Lineage: Eukaryota; Metazoa; Chordata; Actinopteri; Cypriniformes; Nemacheilidae. The record is from RefSeq and is a predicted model, not a curated record.